This is a long non-coding RNA of Armigeres subalbatus, 1261 nucleotides long. RefSeq lists it as uncharacterized. The record is from RefSeq and is a predicted model, not a curated record. NCBI's taxonomy places the organism in Eukaryota, Metazoa, Arthropoda, Insecta, Diptera, Culicidae. The transcript has 3 exons.
ACUCUUUGAAUAUUUACUAUUUUUUGAGAAGUGCCAUCAUUAUGAAACUCAAUAGUGAACAAGAAGAAAACAUUCCCCAUCGAAUGCAACUUGUUGUAGCAAAAUCGAUUCAGGUUUAGUACUAGAAAAAUUGGCUAAUGUUUCAAUGUGCACACACAUACGCACACACACACACACGGACACACACACGGACAGACAGACAUUUGCUCAGUUUGUCGAGCUGAAUCGAAUGGUAUAUAAUACUAUGCACGCUUAGCCUAGUUCACCCAUAAAUACGUAACCUGUUCACUCAAAUAUGGGUAAAUGAAACAUUACUGAUAUUAUCAGUAAAAUUUACUAAUAAAAUCUGUAAAUUUCACUCAUAUUAUUGGUAAGUCUGCCUUUACUCAUAUUUGGGUGAUCUAGCUUACCCAUUUUUGGAUGAAAAAAAAAUCUUGUCAACAACUUCACAACAAACAUGGAGAUUCGAAAAAUUCUUCUGCUAUUUUUAUCGUCGCCGUUAAAUUAUUCAUAAAUUGUGCAUUCCCAAGGCGUAGCAUGGUUGCAAAUAAUAAUUUCGAUUUCGCUUUUGCUUGGAGAAUCGGUGGCAGUCACCAGUUCGAUUAGUUACGAUGCAGGCAAUGAACAUGCGCUUUCUGGGGCAACGUAAUCAUCUUCAUGAUCAAGCGUAGCUGAAACUUUAGAAAUCAUUCCUUACGAAUACGCCUGUGGAAAUUAAAGGACAACAAUUCCAUGUCGGAGAUUGCCACUCAGCUACAUAGCCCGAAAGAUGGUCAAGAAUGUUAUGCUCGUCGGUACGUUGGUGGAAUUUCGUUCGGAACGUUCGGGACUGAAAAUGAUUCCUCAACUACAAAGGGGCUCGGGAGGCGGCAUUAGCGCUUUAUAAUGUUGUUAUAUGAUCUGCCAUAUGAUCUAAGCGAUAUCCGCACCAAUGUGCUGGAUUUUGUUGGAUUUAUCCGAAUCCAGAUUACCGAGUGUCUCCAAUCAGCCAGACCAGCAGAAGGACGGCUGCAGUUUGCGAGGCCAAAUCAAACAAACAAUCGAUACUAUUUGGCACCAGAAACUCCAAUUCACUCGUGAUAUUCUGGUUUGUGGUCUUCCGGGAAUUGAUCCCAACAUAGAGAUCUGCGGAGUAUUCCAGGUGCUUCCGGAGGGGAUCCACAGAAGCCUAUAAUUCUAGCUCGGUGAACUUUCACGCUGAUUCGCAUUGAUCUGAAGAAUGAUGCAUUGCUCUGAAGAAGUAAUGAUCAUAAAUAACAGA